CCACCAGAGUUGUAAACAUACAUGUGUGUACGUGCACACAGAGGCACACACCGUAUGGUGUGUGAUUUCAGAGCAAGUGUUUGGAACCAGACCUGGAUAUAAAUCCUGCUUUCACCAACUUUGGCUGCAUCAAUGCCUGCCCAGGGCCUAGUCUGCAAAGGCCCUCCAAAGGGAUUCUCCUUUCCAUCUUCUCCCCACUGUCUCACUAUGUGACCUUGUCCAGCUGAAAAGCAGAUGGAG
RNAcentral lists this long non-coding RNA (240 nucleotides) under Homo sapiens (human). RNAcentral's name for it is "HSALNT0354479". Lineage: Eukaryota; Metazoa; Chordata; Mammalia; Primates; Hominidae. The record is from RNAcentral.